Molecule: ribosomal RNA, 163 nt
Filed under: Verticillium longisporum
Lineage: Eukaryota; Fungi; Ascomycota; Sordariomycetes; Glomerellales; Plectosphaerellaceae
Description: partial 18S ribosomal RNA
Rfam family: Eukaryotic small subunit ribosomal RNA
Source: RNAcentral
ACCUGGUUGAUUCUGCCAGUAGUCAUAUGCUUGUCUCAAAGAUUAAGCCAUGCAUGUCUAAGUAUAAGCAAUUACAAAGCGAAACUGCGAAUGGCUCAUUAUAUAAGUUAUCGUUUAUUUGAUAGUACCUUACUACAUGGAUAACCGUGGUAAUUCUAGAGCA